Long non-coding RNA from Dreissena polymorpha, 972 nucleotides. RefSeq lists it as uncharacterized. The record is from RefSeq and is a predicted model, not a curated record. NCBI's taxonomy places the organism in Eukaryota, Metazoa, Mollusca, Bivalvia, Myida, Dreissenidae. The transcript has 3 exons.
CUUAACUUCGCAAAAUGUUUUCCUUAGUGUUAAAGCAUCAUCACAAAAAAACUGUCUUAAAUUUGACUUAAAGGAAAUAUUAUUCUGUACGGAUGUCUUUCAGCGACUUACAACAACAAACAUCAUGUCGGGAUACACUUCAGUGCAGUGAUCAAUACUAAAUAGGAAUGGUUCAAAAGGUUGUAACUAAUAUCAGCGCCGGAAGCCACCAUGACCAUGGGUAUCACCUUACGAAUGGAAUUGAGAGAGACGACCGGAAGCAGCAAACUGUGCUAUCCUGGAAUGUUGAGGCUUAACGGUACAACUGUACACGCAGGCGGUACCCAGUGCAAAACUAAUGUGUUAAGCAAUCAUUGUGAUUCAACGAAGAUGAUUAUAUAAAAACGAAGAUGAUUAUAUAAACAAAUACGAGUUUUAUAAAUGUAAUGGAAUUUAUAAACGCUAUCCUUGUGACGCUAACAAUAUUAGAUUUUUAAAUUCCAGAAAUAAAUUUUGCAGCAUUAAAAAGGGGUACAAAACGUAUAUAUUUCAAUAAAAAGCAUACAUUAGCUAAGCUGAGCGAAAAUAAUCCAAAACAUUUUUGGAGAUAUAUAAAUAUAUAAAAAAGAGAAUUUUUCCCAAACAGUAAUGAUGUCAACAUGGACCAAACUUUUUAUUACUUUUUCGAUCGUGGUAUUUAUUCUGAUUCUUUAUAAAAAGGUGCAAGUAUACUUAUUUUUAAAAAGUGUGACAAAAGUAGUCUUCCAAUCAUUAAGGAAUAACACUGGUUAAUAUAAUUUCUAAAAUAUUUUCAAACAGAUUCAACUGUUGGUGUGAGGAAGAAAAUACAUAUUUAAUCCUUUUCAAUUCGGUUUGAGAGAAAAACGUAGUACAACCGAUUGUAUUUUUAGCUUAAAUAGCAUUAUUCAAAGUAUUCUUUUGCAGAAACAUAAGUUAUAUUGUGCUUUUAUUGAAAAGGCUUUUGAAACAGUA